UAGGGAAUCUUCCACAAUGGACGAAAGUCUGAUGGAGCAACGCCGCGUGAGUGAAGAAGGGCUUCGGCUCGUAAACUCNGUUGUUAAAGAAGAACAUAUCUGAGAGUAACUGUUCAGGUAUUGACGGUAUUUAACCAGAAAGCCACGGCUAACUACGUGCCAG
Molecule: ribosomal RNA, 163 nt
Filed under: uncultured bacterium
Lineage: Bacteria
Description: partial 16S rRNA
Rfam family: Bacterial small subunit ribosomal RNA
Source: RNAcentral